RNAcentral lists this ribosomal RNA (331 nucleotides) under uncultured bacterium. Its description in RNAcentral is "partial 16S ribosomal RNA". It matches the Rfam family "Bacterial small subunit ribosomal RNA", at positions 338 to 666 of the family's 1533-position model. The record is from RNAcentral.
CCUACGGGCGGCAGCAGUGAGGAAUAUUGGUCAAUGGACGGAAGUCUGAACCAGCCAUGCCGCGUGAAGGAAGACGGCUCUAUGGGUUGUAAACUGCUUUUGUACGGGAGUAAACCUGACUACGUGUGUUAUUCUGUAGGUCCUAUACGAAUAAGGCUCGGCUAACUCCGUGCCAGCAUCCGCGGUAAUACGGAGGAUCCGAGCGUUAUCCGGAUUUAUUGGGUUUAAAGGGGGCGUAGGUGGAUUGAUAAGUUAGUGGUGAAAUUUUCGGGCUUAACUCGGGAACUGCCUCUAAAACUGUCGAUCUUGAGAGUAGAAGAGGUAGGCGGAA